This 301-nucleotide ribosomal RNA is filed under the name uncultured bacterium. RNAcentral's name for it is "partial 16S ribosomal RNA". It matches the Rfam family "Bacterial small subunit ribosomal RNA", at positions 512 to 810 of the family's 1533-position model. The record is from RNAcentral.
CCGCCGCGGUAAUACAGAGGGUGCGAGCGUUAAUCGGAUUUACUGGGCGUAAAGCGUGCGUAGGCGGCUUCUUAAGUCGGAUGUGAAAUCCCUGAGCUUAACUUAGGAAUUGCAUUCGAUACUGGGAAGCUAGAGUAUGGGAGAGGAUGGUAGAAUUCCAGGUGUAGCGGUGAAAUGCGUAGAGAUCUGGAGGAAUACCGAUGGCGAAGGCAGCCAUCUGGCCUAAUACUGACGCUGAGGUACGAAAGCAUGGGGAGCAAACAGGAUUAGAUACCCGCGUAGUCCCUGUCUCUUAUACACA